Molecule: long non-coding RNA, 656 nt
Organism: Mauremys reevesii (Reeves's turtle)
Lineage: Eukaryota; Metazoa; Chordata; Testudines; Geoemydidae
Exons: 3
Source: RefSeq, a predicted model, not a curated record
UCGGUGACUUCCCCACCACUCCCAACUCUUUGUCGUCACAGAGCAGGUGGCCAAGACUGCAAAUAUUAACUAGUUUCAGCUAAAGAGAACAUGUGCUUUAUAACCUGUAGUGUAAUCCCUAAACGCCUCCUCUUUAAAUAACGCACAAUGCCUUGGGAGUAAGAAGCCAAGGAGAGGGUCUGUCAGAUUUUGUUCUGAGUACUGUACCACCCUGUCAGCCCGAAAGAAACCCUCCUUUCAUUUGAGUGGCGGCGUAGGGCUGUAAUUAAGAUCGGAAUCGGGCCCCUUGUUUCCAAUGCAAGCCAGGGAAAUUCCUGGGCUUGACAAGGAAAUGUGACAACAUGAAAUACAGACUCAACGUGCCUAUGGCGUUGGGUAAUGAAUUCCGUGUCAGAAACCCCUUUCCCCUAUAACCGUUUAUGUCAACAAAUCCAAGGGUGGAUUAAAGCCCCAGCCGGGUUCCGCUGCUUCGCCGGCCUGCCUCUCCGUUCACCGAGCUGGAAUUUCAAGGAUCGGGAUAAUUUAUAAGGGUCAGAGUCUGAUUGCUCAGAUCAAGCUGAGAGGGGACCCUGGCUGCCUUCCCAACCUGUAGCUUACAGGCUGCUUUACUUUUCUAAUGCAAACUCCUAUACACUUGAUAUGGCACAUAGAAGCCG